UACAGAGGGGGCUAGCGUUAUUCGGAAUUAUUGGGCGUAAAGCGCGUGUAGGCGGCUUUGCAAGUCGGGUGUGAAAUCCCCAGGCUUAACCUGGGAACUGCAUUCGAGACUGCAUUGCUAGAGUAUGGGAGAGGGAAGUGGAAUUUCCGGUGUAGCGGUGAAAUGCGUAGAUAUCGGAAGGAACAUCAGUGGCGAAAGCGACUUCCUGGACCAAUACUGACGCUCAUGUGCGAAAGCGUGGGGAGCAAACAGG
Molecule: ribosomal RNA, 253 nt
Filed under: uncultured bacterium
Lineage: Bacteria
Description: partial 16S ribosomal RNA
Rfam family: Bacterial small subunit ribosomal RNA
Source: RNAcentral